GGCCAGUUAGCUCAGUGGUCUGAGCGCGAUGCUGACAACAAUGACAACACUGAGGUUGCGGGAUCGAUUCCCGCUUGGUCC
RNAcentral lists this transfer RNA (81 nucleotides) under Apaloderma vittatum (bar-tailed trogon). It matches the Rfam family "tRNA". Rfam says of the family: Transfer RNA (tRNA) molecules are approximately 80 nucleotides in length. Their secondary structure includes four short double-helical elements and three loops (D, anti-codon, and T loops). The record is from Rfam by way of RNAcentral. Lineage: Eukaryota; Metazoa; Chordata; Aves; Trogoniformes; Trogonidae.